This 253-nucleotide ribosomal RNA is filed under the name uncultured bacterium. RNAcentral's name for it is "partial 16S ribosomal RNA". It matches the Rfam family "Bacterial small subunit ribosomal RNA", at positions 524 to 776 of the family's 1533-position model. The record is from RNAcentral.
UACGUAGGGUGCGAGCGUUGUCCGGAAUUAUUGGGCGUAAAGGGCUCGUAGGCGGUUUGUCGCGUUGGGAGUGAAAUCCACUGGCUUAACUGGUGGCUUGCUUUCGAUACGGGCAGACUGGAGGUAUGCAGGGGAGAACGGAAUUCCUGGUGUAGCGGUGAAAUGCGCAGAUAUCAGGAGGAACACCGGUGGCGAAGGCGGGUCUCUGGGCCGAUACUGACGCUGAGGCGCGAAAGCUAGGGUAGCAAACGGG